This 1417-nucleotide ribosomal RNA is filed under the name metagenome. RNAcentral describes it as "bacterial LSU rRNA". It matches the Rfam family "Bacterial large subunit ribosomal RNA", at positions 1504 to 2898 of the family's 2925-position model. The record is from RNAcentral.
GAACCGGGGUAAGCGUGUAGGAGGAGGACCAGGUAAAUCCGGGCCUCAUAAACUCUGAGACGUGAUACCGAGCCGCUUCAGGCGAAGUCAUUGAUCCUAUGCUGCCUAGAAAAGCCCAGCAGCGAGUUGACAUGGUGCCCGUACCCCAAACCAACACAGGUGGACAGGUAGAGCAUACCAAGGCGAGUGGGAUAACUAUGGUUAAGGAACUCGGCAAAUUGCCUCCGUAACUUCGGGAGAAGGAGGACCCCAGUAGCGUGAUGAGACUUGCUCUCUGAGCGUGAAGGGGUGGCACAAAAUUGAGGGAAGCGACUGUUUACCAAAAACACAGCAGCGUGCUAAGCCGUAAGGCGCUGUAUACGCUGUGACUCCUGCCCGGUGCUGGAAGGUUACGGGGAUGGGUUAGUCCUUCGGGACGAAGCUCUGAACCUAAGCCCCAGUAAACGGCGGCCGUAACUAUAACGGUCCUAAGGUAGCGAAAUUCCUUGUCGGGUAAGUUCCGACCUGCACGAAUGGAGUAACGACUUCCCUACUGUCUCAACCAUAGACCCAGCGAAAUUGAAGUACGAGUAAAGAUGCUCGUUAGCUGCAGAAGGACGGAAAGACCCCGUGGACCUUUACUAUAACUUGAUGUUGUGUUUUGUCAUAUGUUGUGUAGGAUAGGUGGGAGACUUGGAAGCAUGGACGCUAGUCUGUGUGGAGUCAUCGUUGAAAUACCACCCUGCAUAUGGUGAGGCUCUAACCUAGACCCGUUAUCCGGGUUGGGGACAGCGUCAGGCGGGUAGUUUAACUGGGGCGGUUGCCUCCUAAAGAGUAACGGAGGCGCCCAAAGGUUCCCUCAGCCUGGUUGGCAAUCAGGCGUUGAGUGCAAUGGCAAAAGGGAGCUUGACUGCGAGACCUACAAGUCGAGCAGGGGCGAAAGCUGGGCAUAGUGAUCCGGCGGUUGCGUGUGGAAGCGCCGUCGCUCAACGGAUAAAAGGUACCCCGGGGAUAACAGGCUAAUCUUGCCCAAGCGUCCAUAGCGACGGCAAGGUUUGGCACCUCGAUGUCGGCUCAUCGCAUCCUGGGGCUGAAGCAGGUCCCAAGGGUUGGGCUGUUCGCCCAUUAAAGCGGUACGCGAGCUGGGUUCAGAACGUCGUGCGACAGUUCGGUCCCUAUCCUCUGCAGCCGGAGGUGAAUUGAGGAAAGCUGUCCCUAGUACGAGAGGACCGGGACGGACGCAGCUCUCGUGUGCCAGUUGUCCUGCCAAGGGCAUGGCUGGUUAGCGACCUGCGGAAAGGAUAACCGCUGAAAGCAUCUAAGCGGGAAGCCUCUUCCAAGAUGAAUUCACCCACAGGGUUAACCUGGUAAGGCCCGUGGUAGACCACCACGUUGAUAGGCCGGAAGUGUAAGCGUGGCAACACGUUCAGCUGACCGG